AAAGGGUGCGUAGGCGGCUUGUUAAGUCAGAGGUGAAAGGCGGUAGCUUAACUAUCGGAGUGCCUUUGAUACUGAUGAGCUUGAAUGCAGCUGAGGUAGGCGGAAUGUGACAAGUAGCGGUGAAAUGCAUAGAUAUGUCACAGAACACCGAUUGCGAAGGCAGCUUACUAAAGUGUGAUUGACGCUGAGGCACGAAAGCGUGGGGAUCAAACAGGAUUAGAUACCCGUGU
Molecule: ribosomal RNA, 230 nt
Filed under: uncultured bacterium
Lineage: Bacteria
Description: partial 16S ribosomal RNA
Rfam family: Bacterial small subunit ribosomal RNA
Source: RNAcentral